GACGAACGCUGGCGGCGUGCUUAACACAUGCAAGUCGAACGGAAAGGCCCUGCUUUUGUGGGGUGCUCGAGUGGCGAACGGGUGAGUAACACGUGAGUAACCUGCCCUUGACUUUGGGAUAACUUCAGGAAACUGGGGCUAUAACCGGAUAGAAGAUCUUGCUCCACGGGGGGGUUUGGAAAGUUUCGGCGGUGGUGGAUGGAAUGGCGGCUAAUCGGCUGGUUGGUGGGGUGGGGGCUUACCAGGCUUUUGCCGGGUAGCCGGCCUGGGAGGGUGACCGGCCACAUUGGGACUGAGAUACGGCCCAGACUCCUACGGGAGGCAGCAGUGGGGAAUAUUGCACAAUGGGCGGAAGCCUGAUGCAGCAACGCCGCGUGCGGGAUGACGGCCUUCGGGUUGUAAACCGCUUUCGCCUGUGACGAAGCGUGAGUGACGGUAAUGGGUAAAGAAGCACCGGCUAACUACGCG
RNAcentral lists this ribosomal RNA (468 nucleotides) under uncultured bacterium. RNAcentral describes it as "partial 16S ribosomal RNA". It matches the Rfam family "Bacterial small subunit ribosomal RNA", at positions 28 to 507 of the family's 1533-position model. The record is from RNAcentral.